RNAcentral lists this ribosomal RNA (509 nucleotides) under uncultured Glomus. RNAcentral describes it as "SSU rRNA". It matches the Rfam family "Eukaryotic small subunit ribosomal RNA", at positions 569 to 1081 of the family's 1831-position model. The record is from RNAcentral. Lineage: Eukaryota; Fungi; Glomeromycota; Glomeromycetes; Glomerales; Glomeraceae.
AGCAGCCGCGGUAAUUCCAGCUCCAAUAGCGUAUAUUAAAGUUGUUGCAGUUAAAAAGCUCGUAGUUGAAUUUCGGGAUCAAUAUAUUGGUCGUGCCUUUGGUAUGCACUGGUAUUAUUGAUUUCUACCUUCUGACGAACCAUGAUGUCAUUAAUUUGGUGUUAUGGGGAAUCAGGACUGUUACUUUGAAAAAUUAGAGUGUUUAAAGCAAGCACACGCUUGAAUACAUUAGCAUGGAAUAAUGAAAUAGGACGUUUGAUCUUAUUUUGUUGGUUUCUAGGAUCGACGUAAUGAUUAAUAGGGAUAGUUGGGGGCAUUAGUAUUCAAUUGUCAGAGGUGAAAUUCUUGGAUUUAUUGAAGACUAACUACUGCGAAAGCAUUUGCCAAGGAUGUUUUCAUUAAUCAAGAACGAAAGUUAGGGGAUCGAAGACGAUCAGAUACCGUCGUAGUCUUAACCAUAAACUAUGCCGACUAGGGAUCGGAUGAUGUUAAUUUUUAAUGACUCAUUC